GUGCUCACUUCAGCAGCACAUAUACUAAAAUUGGAACUACACAGAGAUUAGCAUGGCCCCUGCACAAGAAUGACACUCAAAUUCGGGAACCAUUACAUAUUAAA
Molecule: small nuclear RNA, 104 nt
Organism: Vulpes vulpes (red fox)
Lineage: Eukaryota; Metazoa; Chordata; Mammalia; Carnivora; Canidae
Source: Ensembl